ACCAAUACCUCGGGGUGCCAGAAAACUGGCUGAGAUGCGUCAUGCGAACCCGUUGAACCUGAACCAGUUAACACUGGCGGAGGGAAGGUCUGGACACGCUCC
This is a non-coding RNA of Marivita cryptomonadis, 102 nucleotides long. NCBI's taxonomy places the organism in Bacteria, Pseudomonadati, Pseudomonadota, Alphaproteobacteria, Rhodobacterales, Roseobacteraceae. The record is from Rfam.